GACCGUGCAAAGGUAGCAUAAUCAUUUGCCUUAUAAUUGAAGGCUUGUAUGAAUGGUUUGACAAGAAUAAAUCUGUCUCUUUAUAAUUAAGUAUAAUUUUAUUUUCAGGUGAAGAAGCCUGUAUUAAAUUGAAAGACAAGAAGACCCUAUCGAGCUUGAAAAAAAUUAAUAAACCUGAAAUCGUAUUGAUAUUGAAUAACUUAUUAAGAAUUUUAGUUGGGGCGACAAAGGAACAGAAAAAGCUUCCUUAAAAUGGUAAGACAUACACGUAGUGAUCCAAACACUUUGAUUAAAGGAAUUAGUUACCGUAGGGAUAACAGCAUUAUCUUUUUUAAGAGUUCAAAUCGAAAAAAAGGUUUGUGACCUCGAUGUUGGACCAGAAUGUCCUAAAGAUGCAGCCGUCUUUAAGGGUUGGUCUGUUCGACCAUUAAAAUUCUACGUGAUCUGAGUUCAGACCGGCGUGAGCCAGGUCAGUUUCUAUCUUCAGUUUUUUAUGUGGACUUAGUACGAAAGGAUUAGUCUAUAAUAACAAGUUAUUAUCAUUGAUAAAGUAUAAAAGAAAAUUUAGUUAAUAUAAAUUUCCUAUAGAUCAAAUUAGCAAAGAUAAUGCAAUUGACUUAGGAUCAAUAGACAUAGGUGAAACUCCUUUAUUUGAUAUAUUAUAAAGAUGGCAGAUAAA
Molecule: ribosomal RNA, 679 nt
Filed under: Bedevina birileffi
Lineage: Eukaryota; Metazoa; Mollusca; Gastropoda; Neogastropoda; Muricidae
Description: partial 16S ribosomal RNA
Rfam family: Bacterial large subunit ribosomal RNA (bases 1-509)
Source: RNAcentral